RNAcentral lists this ribosomal RNA (154 nucleotides) under Staphylococcus aureus. RNAcentral's name for it is "partial 16S ribosomal RNA". It matches the Rfam family "Bacterial small subunit ribosomal RNA", at positions 1 to 149 of the family's 1533-position model. Lineage: Bacteria; Bacillati; Bacillota; Bacilli; Caryophanales; Staphylococcaceae. The record is from RNAcentral.
UUUAUGGAGAGUUUGAUCCUGGCUCAGGAUGAACGCUGGCGGCGUGCCUAAUACAUGCAAGUCGAGCGAACGGACGAGAAACUUGCUUCUCUGAUGUUAGCGGCGGACGGGUGAGUAACACGUGGAUAACCUACCUAUAAGACUGGGAUAACUU